RNAcentral lists this non-coding RNA (719 nucleotides) under Pongo abelii (Sumatran orangutan). Lineage: Eukaryota; Metazoa; Chordata; Mammalia; Primates; Hominidae. The record is from RNAcentral.
UUUUUUGUGUCACGUUUGAACAGAUAUCUUUGAGAAGUUUAUGAUUCUCCAAGUUCUCUUUCUCCUACUGUGGCACCUACUGACAAGAUAAAUGUGUAGAGGUUCCUGAGUCUAGGGGCACUAGAACCAGCUGACUGAUCUACAGAAGUUCCCUUGGUCUCCAUUUGUUUAGAAAAGGGAUGAAGAAACUGAGGCCCACAGAAGGUGGGUGAUACCUGCAAAAUCACAAACUUUCAUGGUGAAAGAAGAGGGCAAAACUCAACCCAUCUCUUUAGACUUGGGAAGAAUAUGAAAGGACCAGGAGGGACACCUUUCCUAAUAACCUAGCUGAUGGUUCACUUAUUGUAAGCACAUUCUCAAACAAGAGGCUGGAAAGCUAAAAAAUGACAUUCCCAGACUCCACUGGAAUUAGAUUUCCAGAGGUGAUUUAUAUUCCACACAUCAGAUGUAUAUGCUCAAGAUUUGUUUAACAGGGAAGGAGGCAGUGGUGUGUGGGUCCCUUUUGCUCAUGUGAAUCUUACAGAGUUGUCUCACUAAGCCCAAAUUUGUCUAACUGGCCUUAUUUCCCCAGAGUAUACCCUGGAAGUUUCCAUUCAAGCCAAUUUAAGUUACUUUAAAUUAGGAAAGGCAGAAAACAAAAGCCCAAACCUUUGUAAAGGAGGAGGAUUUGCUACAUUGUUCUCAAUUCAUCACAGAAUAGGAUGAAACUGAGUGACUAC